RNAcentral lists this ribosomal RNA (492 nucleotides) under uncultured bacterium. RNAcentral's name for it is "partial 16S ribosomal RNA". It matches the Rfam family "Bacterial small subunit ribosomal RNA", at positions 30 to 507 of the family's 1533-position model. The record is from RNAcentral.
AUUGAACGCUGGCGGUAGGCCUAACACAUGCAAGUCGAACGGCAGCACAGUAAGAGCUUGCUCUUACGGGUGGCGAGUGGCGGACGGGUGAGGGAUACAUCGGAAUCUACUUUUUCGUGGGGGAUAACGUAGGGAAACUUACGCUAAUACCGCAUACGACCUACGGGUGAAAGCAGGGGAUCUUCGGACCUUGCGCGAUUGAAUGAGCCGAUGUCGGAUUAGCUAGUUGGCGGGGUAAAGGCCCACCAAGGCGACGAUCCGUAGCUGGUCUGAGAGGAUGAUCAGCCACACUGGAACUGAGACACGGUCCAGACUCCUACGGGAGGCAGCAGUGGGGAAUAUUGGACAAUGGGCGCAAGCCUGAUCCAGCCAUACCGCGUGGGUGAAGAAGGCCUUCGGGUUGUAAAGCCCUUUUGUUGGGAAAGAAAAGCAGCAGGUUAAUACCCCGCUGUUCUGACGGUACCCAAAGAAUAAGCACCGGCUAACUUCGUG